CUCUCUCUCUCUCUCUCUCUCUCUCUCUCUCUCUCUCUCUCUCCUCCCCCCUCCUCUCCUCACUUAUCACUCUCCCCUCCGCAGCCAUGCCACCUGUCCCGUUGCUUGUCACUUCCCCUCUGAUAUGCCUCCUCUGCCAUCUUUUCCUAUUCUUCCUCCACCUGCUCCUCUGCCACCUUCUAUUUUUCCUUCUCUCCUCCUCCCUCUUCACUCCCUCUUUUGCCGUCUUCUCCGCCUUCUCUUCCUCCAUUGUUCCUCUUAAUUCUCCACCUUCUGCUUCGUCAUUGUCAUCGUCCUCCUCCUUGUUCUCUACCUCUUUCUGUUUGGUCUGUGCUAACCAAUAUGCUGUCAUACUGUGUCAGUAUGAUUAUAUGUAUUGGACCUUUAUCAAUCUAACCAGCAACUGUUAUGUGUCUGGUAUGAGAUUUUGGACCUUGAUGUUGAUAUCAUUUACAUGGGAGAAACUUAUUAAUAAGUUCUAAAGGAAACUAUUUGUGUGGUGCCAGAAAUUGUUGAGCUCUGCUUCCAUAUAGAGGGGAUUGUUGACUAAUCUGCUUACAUACAGAGGGAUACAAGGGGAAUCCUGAUUUUAAUAUACAUAAUCUUCAAAAUAAGCCGACUAUCCUCUCUGCGUUCUGAUCUAAAUGUUAUGAUGACUAACAAACCAUAUCCAAUUAUUGGAGGUUAGAACUGAUUUUUGGCAUGGAUUCCUGCAUCCAACAACUACAUUUAUGUUGGUUAUGCAUCCAUGUUUUUGCAAGUUGGAUGCUCAUCGAACUUUUCAGUUAGAUCUUUAUAGAAAGUGGAUCUCUUAUGGUUCUAAAGUUUCUUCUGAACUUAAAUUUCAGAGUUUCACACGACAUUAUAUUUUAUCUACAUAUUACACCUUUUAAUUUUCUUUUGUAGUCUCAUGUCUCCAUUUUAUUCUCCCAAUGAAUUGGAUAUUGGUUACACAUCUGUAUCACAGUUUUGUGCUUGUGUCCAUGAAAUAAUAUUUGCUUUUAAACUGGUAAAUUUUCUAUCAUUGGUAAGUAAUGUAAUAUAGAGACCUUUAAUAUAUAUUAGCAUCGUGGUCAUUUCCAUUGAGCUUAAAGUAUGUUUGGAUUAUAUAUUUCGAUACUUAUGAUCUCCAUUGUCAUACUUAGUGUAUAUUGCAUGAAUAAGAACCAUUCUGCUCUGUAACAUAUGUGAAUCACCACCCUUAUUGUUAUUCUGCUUUCUUCAGCUUUGGCUAAAAGCAUUGGGUUGCGAAAUGAUGCGCGGUUGGAUGAUCGUUCUUAUUGGGUUAGUCUUGUCACAUCACUUUCUAUAUCAUUGGCUAUUCCUUUAGUAUAUCCCAGGAUGAUAACAAUUCAUAACCUGACUGCCAAGGUAUGUAUGGUCAAUUGUUGUUUAAAAUUGAACAUCAAACUUAAAGCUAGUUCUAUCAAAAGUUUGUUUGCAUUCAAACUACUCUUAUGCUGCAGGAGGAUGAUGAAUCCCUUUUACCUGCUAGUAUUCCUCUUUCUAGUGAGAACAUAAAUGAUGAUGGAAUUUAUCUCCUGGAAAACGGUGAAGAUGGCCUGAUUUAUAUUGGGAACAUGGCCAACCCAGAGACUCUUCAACAGAUUUUUGGAGUUUCUUCUGUGGAUGGGCUUCCAGCUCAGGUAACAUUUGUUUCUUUCAGCUUCGUUGCAUUGACAACUGAUCUAUAUAUCAUGGUCCUUUCUAUUUACUCACCAAGCUGAAAACAUUAAAAUAUCCAUGAUCUUGAUGAAACUUUGAUGGCUAACUAAGAUGAUUUACCCCGCUCAUCGACAGUAAUGUAUCUGAUGAUCUAACUCUUCUGCGUCUGUGUCCAUUUGUCUGUCUAUUUGUUUGAUUUUGUGAUUGCAUGUUUAUGGAUAAGCUUGUAGGUGAUGCUCAUUUCUGUGUAUGCAUGUGUCUUUGUCUAUUCUGAUUUGUGUUUUUUCUUGUUCAUGUCUGUCUCUUUGCAGAAUACAUGAUUACAUCAUGUUAUAACAAUCCUCAUUUCAAAUACUGUACUAACAUGAUGGGUGUUUAUUUAGAUUUUAUACAUCAAAGAUAUUACAAUUUCAUUAAGCUGUAGCUUUAAGUAGUACAUGCAUUGGAUAUUUGUCCGAUUUUUAACUAUCCAUGUGCUUAACUGCCAAAGACAUGGUGCUUUGCCACUGUUAAUCGGUUAGCAUGUUUUGUUACUUACUGUUCUUGGUCAAUGCAGCUUGUAUUGGAGCAAUUUGAUAAUGAUCUGUCAAAGAAAUUAAAUGACAUUGUUAAUGAGAUACGAAAGCAGAGAUGUUCAUAUCUACGGUAAGCAGAUGCUUUGCUUUUGUCAUUGUUUCUUAACAGAUCCAUUUUUGUAAAACAUGCUUAAAUUUUAAUUUUUCUGCAGUUUGAGGCUAUGCAGAAAGGGCGAUCCCUCAGGUCAGUUAUAAGUUGAAACCAUAUGAAGCAUGAUAUUGUUUUGUUGUUUAAUAUUUUGUUUGGAAUUUUUUAUACACAAGUGGUUGAUUUAAUUUGUGAAACUCAAUGAUACAGGCAUGCAUUUUAUGUCAUAUAUGGUCGAAGAUAAAACUCCUGGAGGCCUCUCCUAUGUUGAGUUCCUUGUACAUGUCCACCGGCAAAUCCAAACAAAAAUGGCUUGAUCAAGAAAUAUUCGUGCACAAAAUUUUGGUUGACAUUGGCAUUUUGAUUUUAUGGAAUUUAAGUUAAAAUCAGAAAUGGGCAACCAACAAGAGCACUGGAUGCUUCUUUGUACUUGCUGAGUGCAAUUUCUGCUGACUAGCUCGGCACAUGAGUGAAAACAGGUGCCAGUUUCCGAUGCUUGCAAUUCUCAAACUGAUACUUGGAAGUAGACAAAAUCGAUAGUAAAGGUGCAAUAUCUGCCUGUUGCUUUUCUAGAUAUUUCUUUUGAUUCCUUGUAGACUCAGAGGGUGUAUGAUAUCAUCUUGGUCGAUUAUAUUGUUAUAAUUUGUUUGGGUUUACAAUUAAUUGGGAGGUUUUCAUUUGUAUCUUCAAUUAUCUUUAGAAAGGUCUAAGGUCAAAUAUCUUUGUGAGCUAUUCAAGCAGGGUUGUUGAUGAGUGUCAUUUGGAUUGUACCUAAUCAAAUGUUUGCUUUUACUGAUAAGUAGUAGCCUUGUUUAUGUGAGGCAGCUUCCACGCUUAUCGUGGCUAUGGUGGCGGUAGAAACUAAUGACUGGUAGUGAAUAUGAGCUAUUCUUUAUAUUUUCAAACAGACAGACUAAGAUGACAAAACUUGUGCAUUUGGGCUUUUUUUCAUCUGUGGUUUGCUGCAUGUUAGAAGUCUUCAUAGCAACUAAACAUUGAUAUAUAUGGUGCAUUUCGUAGUGUAUUAAUAGACUCACUCAUCAUUAGCUAAUUAGGGUCAGCUGAGUUUUUAAUAUUUCACCAUUGCUUUUGUGGAGGUCUUCUGUGUCAGUCUUUGUAAACCUGUUUUCUUUAUGUAUUAAUUGCAUGCUAAACCUGCCACCAUAUCCACUGCAAGAAUACUUCCCUCCGUGAACCCAUCGACUCAGGAUAUUGUUUUAUUAGUGCCUUGUAUCCUCUUUCCAUUCUCCCUAUAUUGCUAUACUAUUUGUGCAUUUCUAUCAGGCGAGUGAUUUAACCAAUCGCAAAUGACAUCCAAGUGAUUCUUUUGAAUUUGCAAGCUGCUCCCCCGGAUUGAAAUAUUUUCAGAUUUUAGCUGAUAAGAAGAGAAAAUUGUGGUAGUCUAAGUGUAUUAUAAGUGCAUCAUUGAUUGUUAGGUUCAUCAGAUAAUUGAAAUUACUCUACAAGAGCCUUAAAUUCCCAUAGUGUUUUCUUUUAUUGGGUGGAGAUUAAAAACUUCAAUUACUUUCUAAGGAUAAUAUUUACUGGUUAACUAAGUUACAUGAUUAGUAUUUUCAGGAUGAGGAUCCAAAGAUUAAGUAUUAAUGAUUAGGAGUCACACUGUGUACCUUACUAAAUAUUGACUCUAUUAAAUAAAUAUAAUUUGAUUCGAUUUUAUGCUUGAAUGAUCAACAGAAGCUACUUAUCUAUUAAGUUAAUUAAGAAAAAGAUAGAGAAAAUGAAAAAAGAUUUACAUAUGCUUUUUAUGGAUGAAAGCAUAUGAUAUGAUGGAUUGUAGAAAGUAAUAUGUACAUACUAAUUAUAUUGAUGUUAUAAAGAAUAUCAACAGUAUAGUUAUUAACUAUAUUAAAAUUUCAUAAAGCGUGUCUAAUAGGUUCUGUGUGAUAUAUCUUUUAACUUUAAAAUAAUAAUUUAUAAGAGUCAUUAGGUCAGUGAUGUUUUAUCUAAGUGUCAAACAAUUAAAAAGAAUAUCGAGUUGAAUAUAUGGAUUUACUAAAAAAAAUAAAUAUUUUUUCCCUGAAUAAUUAAUUAGGUAUAAGUUGGAUGGAUAGCUGGAUAAAAUUGAAAGAAUUAUUAAAUAGUAUUCAGUAUCUGGAUUUACCAUGAAGUGGCAAGCACAAGGGAAUGCUGGUUACUAUGACAAGUGGCAUCAGUCUUUAUACUCACUACUCUUUGCUCACAAGUAUAAAGAAGGCAAAAAAAUUGCAGCUUUAUUACUCUUCAACUUGGGACCAUGGAACAAAAGCUCUAAAACACUCUCUUACAUGAAACUGUGGCCCGGUAUAAUAAGUUCCCUUGUUGGAUUAGAUGUGGGCGCCAGCAACAGGCAUUAAUGCCGUGUAGAAAUUGUGGCUUUUUAUUUCCUCAAUUCUCAUGAAAUGAAAAGAGAAAAAGAACAAAAAUUUCUGGUAGAAAAAUUUGAUGGAGUGUUGACAUGAUCAUGAUGUUCUGCAAACUUGAUGAUUGCUACUUCCUCCCAACACAGGACUCUGCACUUUUUCCCACUUCACCUUUCUUGCUUCUUCCCUCUUCACCUCUCUUGUUUGCUAGAUGGGGGAAAGCACCCAAAAUGUUAUGGGCCCUCAGAUCUUGCCUUGUCAGAAUUCCUACCACAGGAGAUAUCUGCACAACAACAUAAAUUAGCAACUCAGCAGCAUCCCAAAUCAUGAUUUCUAGUUUCAGGACAUAUCGACCAGAAUUUAUUAGUGUCAUAAUAAGGAUCAUCAAUAUUGAAUUAUGCAUCAUUCUGUAUAUUUCUUUAUCGACUAAGCUAAUUGACAUCUUAGUUUAUUAGAUAUUUAGCUAUGUGAUACUCCAAUUCUUUUCCAAACAUGUCAGACACAAUGUAAGAAGGUGAGUCUUCAUUGAUUUUAUUGUGUUGUUGUUGUAGAAGCAAGUAGAAGCAAAUGAAGGCUGUGUUUGCUAAUGGCAGACUCUUCAAGUAAAUGUGGAGGAAGAAGAGAGAGUGAGCUCACCCCUGCGCCCUGGUACUUGGGGAUCACCAGCAAAUGGCGGAGGCCGACCUGUCGAAAGAGCACCACGGCCUUCGCCACCGACAUGCUCUCCACCACCGUGUACGGCGUCGUGUUGGUGAAGGGGUGGAGGUCGACGUACAUGUCCAUCUCCUCCUCCGUCAGCUUCACGUGCUCCACCUUCUGCCCCUUCUCUGCUAGAUCUACCGACGUGAAUGCCGCCCGCACUUCCCACUCCGCCGUCCUCCUCCUCUCCUUCAGGAACCACUUCUUGCUCAGCACCGCUACGAGGUGCGCCCGCAGGACUAGGCCGUGCAGCUCCGUUGUGCCGGCUGGGGACGAUGGCGCUCCCUGGUCGACGACCGGGAAGCCGUUGUGGCUGGUGUGCUUCAGCACGUCGACGACUCGGGCGACCCUCUCGAUGCCCCGGAGGCUGACGAUGCGGGGUUUGGCGGCUGCAAGCUCCCCCACCGUCAGAUUCCUCAUCCAUGGCUCAGGGCUGGCUUCCAAGAACGGCAGACCCUUCAGCUCGAGUAUGAUUUCGUAAAUGCUGGGGUUGAAGGAGUCGCCCACGGUCUUGGCGAUGAGCAGCACGAACAUGGUGAUGGGCAGCAGGAGGAGGUUGUUGGUGAGCUCGAGGAAGAUGACGCAGAGGGAGACGGUCAUUCUCAUGGAGCCGGACAUGAGCGCCGCGGCGCCGAGCACGGCGUAGAGGCCCUGGUCGAUGUGGAUGAAGGACCUGAGCGCGAGCGCCAGCAGGCGGCCGUACGCGGAGCCCAUCAGGAUGAUGGGGAGGAACAACCCCGAGGGGACGGCGAUGCCGAAGGUGACGAGGCCCAGCACGCAGUAGAGCGCGAAGAAGAUAAGGAGGGAGAUGCUGCGGAACUCGUUGGGCGUGGAGGUGGAGAAGAUGUUGCGCACCGCGUCGUCGUUGGUGGCAUAGAGGAGGCUGGCGAGGUCGUUGUAGUAGCCAUUGGGGCAAUUGAACUGCUUGAAGUUGCCGCUUCCCUCGGGAGUGGGGCAGAUGGUCUCCGACGAGGGGUCGCAGGGCGUGCAUGGUGCCAAGAACGGGAGGCAGUAAAGGCAGACCGAGGUGAAGAGCGAGACAGCAAGACUAAGCAGCAGCUUCGCCAUUCUUCCUCUCCUGCGUCAUCACAAUAACAACAAACAUCAUCGAAUCUGAUCUCCCAUGGAGGAAGGAAUCCGUGACAGAAGCUCACUCGUUGAUGAGGCUGUAGACCCUGAGAAUUUUGUGCAGGACGUAGUUGUAGAGGCUGCCCAGCAAGCCGCCCAACACGCCGACGAGCGCCACCGGGAGGAGGUCGUUCACAUGGUACGUGACGGUGACGUCACUGACGUCGAAGAGGAUGAGCCCGCCGCGGCCGAACAAGCCGCACCUCCCGGAGUUGCAGUACUCGAUGAAUCCCCUGAGCACGACCACCACGACCGCGGUGCUGAAGAAGGUCCGCCACAGCAGCGCGCUCCGCCACCACGUCGCCACCUCCUCGAGCGCGAACAGGACGCCGCCCACCGGCGAGCGGAACGCAGCGCAGACCCCGGAGGAGGCUCCGCAGGUGAUGAGGUCGCGCCGGUCCCGAUCGUUCUUGAAGUAGCGUAGCCACUUCCACCGGAGGCGGUAGUUCUCCGACCCGCCUUGGCCGAGCAAGGACGCAAAGCAGGCCCCGAUGUGCACCAGCGGCCCUUCUUUUCCCAGGUCGAGGCCGGCGGACACCGAUCCGAUGCUUCCAAUGAUCUGCAGAGGUGAAAGCGAAGGAUCCAAUCUCACUGCGGAUCGUCUUCAGAUCCAAGCUUCAGACUAUCUGCAGUCUAUCUCACCUUGACCACCAAUGUCGACACCCCAAACAUGUUCGGCGUAUCGACUCCGUUGAGGUAAGCCUUGAUCUCCGGAAUUCCAGGGCCCGCCGCAGUGGGAGCGAAGACGACACACAGAGAUGCCGCCACCGUGGUGAGAGCAAGGUUUACACCCGCCAAGUAAACGAAGCCAGUUAUGUACCUGCAAACACCGGCAACAAGAAUUCCUCUCGGUAUCAGAACGGAGGAGUUCUCGCUCGCCGCAACACGGAAAGGCGGGGGAGGAGAAGCAACUCAACUUUGGUCCUUCACGAAGCGGGCGAGGUAAAGCAUUUUGAUGCCGGCUAUGUUCUCGAUGGCGAGGUUGAUGAGGGAAGCCGUGACGCCGGUGAGGAGGCCGACGAGGAACGCCAGCGUCCACUUGAGGAAUAUGUACUGCAGCACCUCGGUGCUGGAUCUGCUUCUCCAGUCGUGUUUGAACAGGUCGUUCUCGUUAAUCCUGCACUCGCGGAGACGUCAGCAGAUGCAGAGAAGAAGGAAACCAGGCUUCCACCGCAGGGCAGGGUGGGGGGGAAAGUUCUUACUCGUAGUCCAAGCUCUCGAUGUGCGAAACCUUGGCACCGACCAUGGCGUAAUGGCUGGAGGUGAGGGUGGGGCUUCGCUUGAGCAGUGGCUGCUGCAGCGAGUUGCUUUCAGGAUCAAGCUCUCCUUCUCCUCCAUCGACCACCACUGCUGCAGCAGCAGGUGGGGAUGAACUCGAGCUGUCCUCCAUGGAUGCUGAGCUCGCCUCGCCUACAAUGGAGCAGGUUCAACUGACAGGGGAAAGGAGGAAGAUGAGAACUGACACCGAAAGCACACUGUACAUUUAAAGGGGUCACAGGCAUCAGGACGAAGGUUUGUUUAAUGCCCAUAUCUUCUUCCAUGGCAUCGAAGGAGGACAUCUGUGGCCCCUUCGACAUCCCUUUCGGAGGUAAAAGAAAAAAAUUGGGAAGCUAAAAUAAUGAAACAAGGACGGAGCACGGAAUCCAUGUGGAUUAGAUUAGAGCAAAUAAUGUCACCUUGCAAAUCUACAACUCCCUCGCCAUGGACAGCUUAAGACAAGCUUGUCUUCCCUUGGGACGACGGGGAGGGAGGCGGAUGGAGCGGUGGGCAUAUCCAUAUCCUGGUGGAUGCCAUCGGUGGACUAAAAUAUCCAUGCCACCCUCGAAUCAUCAUCAGACGUCACCGAAAUCUAAUCCUUGUCAUUUCCUCUUCCACCCUUCGAGUCUCACUGAUACAUUUCCAUUGAUGCCUGCAACCCAAACAUGAGAGAGAGAGAGAGAGAGAGAGAGAAGGGAAAGAGGAGGAGGCGGCUUCGGACUUGGGUGUAGGGAAAGGACAGGCGGUGUGGUCUCUUCCUCGCUAGCAAGGCACAAUGAAAGGAAGGGACAAUUGGACUUUUUGGAUGUCUCCUUGUGUUGCAAGAAUAUGGCAUUAAGCAUGGAGUCGAGUAUUAUAACUGGUCUUUGACAUUGUCCACAACGUGGUGGAGUGCCAUUAUCAAUCAAGGGUAUAUAUAUAUAUAUAUAAUCGAUUAAUCAAGUCAAAUUUGAUUGUGUAACAAAGACCUUUGGAACUCAAGAAAUCAGGAAAUAAUCAAUCGGUUUGUGGAAUUCCCCCAUGAUUGAUGCUUCUUGUGAUUGAUAAAUUUAUCUAUAAGAAUUGAGUGAUAGUCAUCAUAAUUAUUUUUAAUAAUAUUCAUAUUAUCUUAAAUAAUUUGAUCUCAUUUUAUUUUUAAUCGAAGUUACGUAUCAUUGUUCAUGAAUGAAAACGGAUAACCUAUCAAGAUCAUUUAAUUAAUAGCAAGAGUCGUAUUAUGAUUAUAUAAGGACUCGAACAUGUACAAUUAUUAAUCAUCACAUUACAUGCAUAAUCCUUUAUUUAUCAGUCCUAUUUUAAAUUAAUUCCUAAACUUUAUAUUUCUCGAUGAGUUUCUAAAAUUUGAUUAGGGUUAUCCUCAAGUCAGCUUUUUUUUUUGGAGGAAUACAAUCACAUAGAUGUGUGAAUGAGAAUGACUAUUGUUCCCAUCGUAUUCUUGUGGCAUUCGAGGGAAGAAACGAUGCUCAUCUCUAUCUUUCCCUUUCACUUUAGUAAAGAGAGAGAGAGACAUAGAUAUAUAUGGAGAAGAAGAAGAAAAAAAAGAUAAGGAAUCUAACAAUAAAAGCUUUCGAGGGGUUUAUGAAAGGAAGAAAAAGAAUAAGGAAGAAGCCUAAGCAAAAAGACAUGAUUAUUAUAUGAGAUUAUAUAUAAUUUGACACCGAAAACUUGUUAAGUAGUGAAUUUAAUCAAUCUGACUCUUUCAAUUCUUAAUUUUCUAAAGCCGUCAUGAAAUAGGACUUGAUUGAAAAGAUUCAUCAAACCAAUAUGAAGUUUUAGAGAUGCUUUGAAUAGGCCAUUCCAUUUCUUCCCACAGUUGCAUCACGUUUUGGGUUACACUCUGAGACAACAACUCUUCCUGAUUUGAAAAUGGGGAGCUGAUCCUCCAUUUAGCAUAUACCACAGAAUAACCUAACCUUGAUGGUCAAUGAUUUGUCAUUAUCAAAUCAUACAGGGCUCAAACAUGAAAUUGAUCUUAACAGCAACAAAAGAAGGAAAUUCCUCUCUUCAAACUCUCUUUUCAGUUCCUUUCCAGAUGUGAUUUUCCAACUCUGAAUGCAUAAAGACACCAUAAAAUAGAGAGAGAUCAAUUAUUUCUGUUUCUCAAAUCUUAUAAGACAACUCAAUGCACGAGAUCUUUGCAAGUAAAGAUAGAUAAACUACUACUUUUGCUUCUCAGAUCUUACUAGAUAGAUCGUAAAUGAAUAAUUCAAUGUUUAUCUCACGUUUAUGAGAAAAACCUAAAUUUCUCAUCGAAUAGAACAAAUACGUGAAUUAGAUAUGCGAUUUGCAUGUGAAAGUCAACGUGGCAAGCGGAGGAUGAAUUGGACGCUAAUGUCGUGCAUGUGGAGGAGGAGAGGCUUUUACAGUUGUGCAGGUGGAGACGGCACCGGUGGACCCAAUUCAAGCUGAACUGUUCGUCUACUCUAAAGCAAGCCUUAUCCCAAAUCUUCCACCCCAAGCAAACUACUCGACACCGGUCCUCGACAUUCAUCGUCUGCGAUCCAGAUCUAGUUUGCGGUCGACCAAUCCGAACAAGGCAAGUGUUCGGAUCACAGCAGCCAUCCAUGAAACAGAGGGCGGAGCUAAAAAUGGCUCUUCGGCGUCCCAAAGGCCAACACACCGUCUGCCUCUCUCUCUCUCAUUGGGUUCAGAAGAAUAGAGAAGGGUGGAAUCAUUGGUCCAACACCAGCUGAUGAUGCCCUCGACGAGCGAGCUUGACACAUCUUCUUCAAUCAAUCCAGAGAAAGUGGGGGCAGAGGUCCCGUGAACGGCUCCGCGAACAGGUGUUGUCAUGUAGGUGAAACCUUUGCUUCUUCUCUCUCUCUUUCGCGGGACAGGUCAAAUGGUUUUGUCUCUCCUCGUCCUCAUUGGUCCCUGCAAUCGUACUCUGAAUACAACACGCAUCUGUUCUUUGUUGCUGCUCACAUAAAUGAAGAUCUGAUUGUCCGUAAUUCCAUUUUGCGAGUGACUGUAUUCAUCGGUUUGAUUGCCAUCGUACUGAGAAAUCUAUGGCACAUCAAGUUUGCUAACGCCUCCUGUCAUUUGCAAGGAAUUUAGUGUUGGGAAUUGGAAUACAGCCUGACAAAUAUUUUGAAUGGGGAUAAAAAAUUAUUAUAUAUAUUAAACUCCUCAUCUCAUCAGUCUUCUGAUGGGACGACUGAUCUAUUAAUUUAAUCGGUUUAAA
RNAcentral lists this long non-coding RNA (10956 nucleotides) under Musa acuminata (dwarf banana). RNAcentral describes it as "long non-coding RNA (MACU_LNC001364)". Lineage: Eukaryota; Viridiplantae; Streptophyta; Magnoliopsida; Zingiberales; Musaceae. The record is from RNAcentral.